This is a long non-coding RNA of Paramormyrops kingsleyae, 548 nucleotides long. RefSeq lists it as uncharacterized. The record is from RefSeq and is a predicted model, not a curated record. NCBI's taxonomy places the organism in Eukaryota, Metazoa, Chordata, Actinopteri, Osteoglossiformes, Mormyridae.
UAUCACGGUCUACUGGAUUUCAAGAAACUGGACAAGACUGCGGUGCUGGAUGCCAGCUGGAGUGGCUGUCGUCCCUGUUGCUGUGGUUACUGACCAGCUGUGGCCUGUUGCUGUUUAUAAGCUCAUAGUGGGGCACAUUCUGAGCCAUGUAAAAAGCGAACAUCCACUUAGACAAGGCUGCUAAAGGAAGCAGUUUGAUUGGCUGUGUAAGCCUUGAGAAGAUGAGCGAUUGGGUGGGACUGGAGCGCUAACCUCUGUCACUGAAGGACGCCCCCGAGGUUGGAAGCCAGUACAACUGAAAGCCCUCACAUCUCCUGGCAGUUUCACUAGCACUCCCUGUUGGGCUCUCUCCAUCUUGUGGUCUGUAUUCCCAGGAGAAAUGACCACAGUGCCCCCUCCACUGAUUCCACCUGGUCCAUGUGAGAUGACACAAUGUGGGCGGAGUCUGGAGAGAGGUCUCCUCUCACACCCUCCUCACCAAUGUGGCAGAGGCAGGAUGCCCGUGGGAGGUGUGGUGCAUACACCACCUCCAGUCUCCGGGGGACACC